UACGUAGGGUGCAAGCGUUAAUCGGAAUUACUGGGCGUAAAGCGUGCGCAGGCGGUUUCGUAAGUCUGUCGUGAAAUCCCCGGGCUCAACCUGGGAAUGGCGAUGGAGACUGCGAGGCUAGAGUUUGGCAGAGGGGGGGUAGAAUUCCACGUGUAGCAGUGAAAUGCGUAGAGAUGUGGAGGAACACCGAUGGCGAAGGCAGCCCCCCUGGGUCAAAACUGACGCUCAUGCACGAAAGCGUGGGGAGCAAACAGG
This 255-nucleotide ribosomal RNA is filed under the name uncultured bacterium. Its description in RNAcentral is "partial 16S ribosomal RNA". It matches the Rfam family "Bacterial small subunit ribosomal RNA", at positions 524 to 776 of the family's 1533-position model. The record is from RNAcentral.